AGGGUUUUUUUGACAUACUGAAACUAAUAACUAUGCCAGAAAAUUUAAAUUUGUUGGAAAAUGUUCAUAUAGGACUAGAAGCACCCUCAAAUCAUGGAUUAACUAAUUUGGUUAAAGGAGAUUAUUUAUAUUAUCAUUAUUUAUGUGACGGUCUGGAUGAUAGGGGAUGGGGCUGUGGAUAUCGAACUUUGCAAACCUUAUGUUCAUGGAUUAACAAAAUUAAUAAGAACGUAAGUGUUCCAGAUAUUCCAGCCAUUCAACAAACUCUUGUUAAAAUUGAAGAUAAACCAAAUGCGUUCUUAGGAUCGAGAAAUUGGAUCGGUACAGUUGAAGCCUCAAUGGUUAUCGAUACUUUAUACGAUGUCCCUUGUAAAAUAAUUCAUGUGAACUCGGGCUCAGAAUUGAAUUCUAUUGUGCCAAGUUUGGUAGAACAUUUUAUAAGUAAAGGAAGUCCUCUAAUGAUGGGUGGUGAUACAGAUUGUUCAUCCAAAGGAAUUAUGGGAACUCAUUCAUGCGAUUCUACAAAUUAUCUCCUAGUUGUGGAUCCUCAUUAUUAUGGAGGUACUGUGAAUUCAAAGACUUUACAAAGUCGAGGGUGGAUAAAAUGGGUUGCUGUAAAUGAUUUUUUGGAUAGUUCGUUUUAUAAUUUAUGUUUACCGCAGUUAUGUUCAAAUCAAUGACAGGUUGCAAAAUUUUUUUUUGGUGACAUGGAGUUCUAUAGUAAAUUUGACACAAAACAUCCUUCUAAGAAGAUUUAACCAUCAUUCUAUCAAAUGCCUCUUCAUUGGUGACAUUUGUAUAUGCCAUAAUACGAUCUCGAAUCCAUUUACGGCGUGGAUCCAUUUUUCGUAUUAUGCGUGAUAUUUAAAUGAAAAAAGCCUAGAAACAAAAUGAUGAUUACACUUAAUUAAAGAAAAUGUCUUUAUUUUUUUAAAAUUAGCUAAUUAG
This is an RNA transcript of Chrysoperla carnea, 948 nucleotides long. It is a transcript of the gene named ufm1-specific protease 1, with no coding region annotated. The record is from RefSeq and is a predicted model, not a curated record. The transcript has 6 exons. Lineage: Eukaryota; Metazoa; Arthropoda; Insecta; Neuroptera; Chrysopidae.